This 274-nucleotide ribosomal RNA is filed under the name uncultured bacterium. RNAcentral describes it as "partial 16S ribosomal RNA". It matches the Rfam family "Bacterial small subunit ribosomal RNA", at positions 523 to 796 of the family's 1533-position model. The record is from RNAcentral.
AUACGAAAGGUGCAAGCGUUGUUCGGAUUUACUGGGCGUAAAGAGAGUGUAGGUUGUUUAUUAAGUCGGAUGUGAAAUCCCGGGGCUCAACCUCGGAACUGCAUUCGAUACUGGUAGACUAGAGUUCGGGAGGGGUAAGCGGAAUUCCGUGUGUAGCAGUGAAAUGCGUAGAUAUACGGAGGAACACCUGAGGCGAAGGCGGCUUACUGGACCGAUACUGACGCUGAGACUCGAAAGCGUGGGUAGCACACAGGAUUAGAAACCCCAGUAGUCC